RNAcentral lists this ribosomal RNA (253 nucleotides) under uncultured bacterium. RNAcentral's name for it is "partial 16S ribosomal RNA". It matches the Rfam family "Bacterial small subunit ribosomal RNA", at positions 524 to 776 of the family's 1533-position model. The record is from RNAcentral.
UACGGAGGGUGCGAGCGUUGUUCGGAAUCACUGGGCGUAAAGCGCGUGUAGGCGGCCCACUAAGUCUGAUGUGAAAGCCCGGGGCUCACCCCCGGAAGUGCAUUGGAAACUGGUGGACUAGAGUCCCGGAGAGGAGAGUGGAAUUCCUGGUGUAGCGGUGAAAUGCGUAGAUAUCAGGAGGAACACCGGUGGCGAAGGCGGCUCUCUGGACGGUGACUGACGUUGAGACGCGAAAGCGUGGGGAGCAAACAGG